Molecule: ribosomal RNA, 473 nt
Filed under: uncultured organism
Description: partial 16S ribosomal RNA
Rfam family: Bacterial small subunit ribosomal RNA
Source: RNAcentral
CACUCCUGCGGGAGGCAGCAGUGGGGAAUUUUGGACAAUGGGCGAAAGCCUGAUCCAGCAAUGCCGCGUGAGUGAAGAAGGCCUUCGGGUUGUAAAGCUCUUUUGUCAGGGAAGAAACGGUGAGAGCUAAUAUCUUUUGCUAAUGACGGUACCUGAAGAAUAAGCACCGGCUAACUACGUGCCAGCAGCCGCGGUAAUACGUAGGGUGCAAGCGUUAAUCGGAAUUACUGGGCGUAAAGCGUGCGCAGGCGGUUUUGUAAGUCUGAUGUGAAAUCCCCGGGCUCAACCUGGGAAUUGCAUUGGAGACUGCAAGGCUAGAAUCUGGCAGAGGGGGGUAGAAUUCCACGUGUAGCAGUGAAAUGCGUAGAUAUGUGGAGGAACACCGAUGGCGAAGGCAGCCCCCUGGGUCAAGAUUGACGCUCAUGCACGAAAGCGUGGGGAGCAAACAGGAUUAGAUACCCUGGUAGUCCCAU